This 497-nucleotide ribosomal RNA is filed under the name uncultured bacterium. Its description in RNAcentral is "partial 16S ribosomal RNA". It matches the Rfam family "Bacterial small subunit ribosomal RNA", at positions 28 to 507 of the family's 1533-position model. The record is from RNAcentral.
GAUGAACGCUGGCGGCGUGCCUAAUACAUGCAAGCCGAGCGAACGGACGAGUAGCUUGCUUCUCUGUUGUUUGCGGCGGACGGGCGUAAAACGUGUGGAUACUGCACGUAUAAGACUGAGAGCUCCCCGGGAGAGGAGUUCACCCACCAUAUAAUAAUUUGAAGCCCAUUGUUCAUGAUUGAAAGACGGUCGUUCGGGCACGUAUAUAUGGAUCCUCGCUGCAUUAGCUAGUUGGUAAGGUACCGGCUUACCAAGGCAACGAUGGAUAGCCGACGUGAGAGGGGGAUCGCCCACACUGGAACUGGGACCGGGUCCAGACCCCUACGGGAGGCAGCAGUAGGGAAUGGUCCGCAAUGGGCGAAAGCCUGACGGAGCAACAGCGCGUGAGUGAUGAGGAUCUACGGAUCGUGAGACGCUGUUAUUAGUGAAGAACAUAUGUGUAAGUAGCUGUGCACAUCUUGACGGUACCUAGUCAGAAAGCCACGGCUAACUACGUG